GCAUUGGUGGUUCAGUGGUAGAAUUCUCACCUUCCGUGCAGAAGACUUGGGUUCAAUUCCCGGCUAAUGCA
This 71-nucleotide transfer RNA is filed under the name Loxodonta africana (African savanna elephant). It matches the Rfam family "tRNA". From Rfam's summary of the family: Transfer RNA (tRNA) molecules are approximately 80 nucleotides in length. Their secondary structure includes four short double-helical elements and three loops (D, anti-codon, and T loops). The record is from Rfam by way of RNAcentral. Lineage: Eukaryota; Metazoa; Chordata; Mammalia; Proboscidea; Elephantidae.